AUUGAACGCUGGCGGCAGGCCUAACACAUGCAAGUCGAACGGUAACAGGAAGCAGCUUGCUGCCUCGCUGACGAGUGGCGGACGGGUGAGUAAUGUCUGGGAAACUGCCUGAUGGAGGGGGAUAACUACUGGAAACGGUAGCUAAUACCGCAUAACGUCGAAAGACCAAAGAGGGGGACCUUCGGGCCUCUUGCCAUCAGAUGUGCACAGAUGGGAUUAGCUAGUAGGUGGGGUAACGGCUCACCUAGGCGACGAUCCCUAGCUGGUCUGAGAGGAUGACCAGCCACACUGGAACUGAGACACGGUCCAGACUCCUACGGGAGGCAGCAGUGGGGAAUAUUGCACAAUGGGCGCAAGCCUGAUGCAGCCAUGCCGCGUGUAUGAAGGAGGCCUUCGGGUUGUAAAGUACUUUCAGCGGGGAGGAAGGCGAUGUGGUUAAUAACCGCGUCGAUUGACGUUACCCGCAGAAGAAGCACCGGCUAACUCCGUGCCAGCCGCCGCGGUAA
This 506-nucleotide ribosomal RNA is filed under the name uncultured bacterium. Its description in RNAcentral is "partial 16S ribosomal RNA". It matches the Rfam family "Bacterial small subunit ribosomal RNA", at positions 30 to 523 of the family's 1533-position model. The record is from RNAcentral.